UUAUAACUCGAGUAGCUGGAGUGUUGGUUGUAGCUUGAGUGAUUGGGUUAGCUGCUGAUUUAUUAUUUUGUCUUUUUGCUUUUAUUUGCUGCUUUACAGUAUUUAGUAGUCUGUGAUAAGUAUAGGUUAGGGCUUCGCUUAUUGCAAUAAUUUUUUUCUCUUUAGAGUAAUUAUGAUUUUUUUAGGUAUUGUUUAGGUAAUAAAUUUUUUUUUUAGGUACUUCUCUACUUUAGCUGGAUUUUGAAUUUGUUUACGUGGAAAGUUUUAGAUUAUAAGGUUAGAAAAAUUUUUUAAGGUUUGGCUUAUAUACUUUUAAUAUAUAAGCUACUCAGGAUUUCUUACACUUGGGUUUACUUUUGGGUUGUGGGUUUUAUUAGUUGUUCUGGAUAUUUUAGUUUUUAUUUAGAGAAGUUUUAGGCUGCAUGGAGGAAGCUUUCUAGAUUAAGUACUAGGAAAGUGGUCUCUAACAUUUAGGGGAAACUGACCCUUUUUAAAAAGUGACAUAAUAGAUUUAAAGGAGAAGAAGAAAAGGAAAGGCUGAAAAGCUUCAUUUUUUGCUUUUCUUUCAACAAACUGGGUGCAAUUAUUAAUAAAACAUCUUAAAACACAUUAUUGGAAUUGGGACACAGGGUAGGAGAAAAAAAUUAUAAACUUAUCCUGAACAGACUCCAGUACUUUUGUAAACUAUAAAUUAUUUUCAGUGAUCUUAGUACAAUAGCUAUUUAAAUCUAUGCUUUUCUACUGUAAAAACUACGUGUUAGGGAUAAUAUAUGAGUUAUUUUUGGAUAAGAAAAUAAUUAAAGUGACUAGAAAUGUAUUAAAACAAAAAAAACCUUAGGGACUAGAAACACACAAAGAGACAUUAAGAAUUUAAAUAACUCUGAGAGACAGUAAGAAUUUAAGUAACAUGGUCACUGAUUGCAUUAUCUCAGUACAGAGUAAACAAAACUAAAAUGCAAUCAAUACAGUUUUUUUCUGCUUUCCUGAGCUAUGUGUUGGGCACCAAAAAUUAUAUUUGUUCUGGUUUAGGGUAAUUUUGGGAUAAAAACUUUGAAAGGGUUUCUUUUGAAAAGCAAAUUUUAGCAUCUCUUCCCUUAACUGAUUCAGGGAAAAAAAUCUUGUGAGAAAAGUGGAAAAAACUGCUUAUUUAACAGGCAAAGCAUUCACUUGCACAAAAAAUGAACAGUAUUAAACAAUAAAACCUCUUGUUGCUCUGAAAGAGAUGACAAACUCAACGUUUUUUUUGUGGGCUGUAGCUUGGUUUACUCCAUUUGUAAUGGAUUUCUUUGGUGCUGAAAAUGAUAUGGCUUAGGCUUGGCUUGGUGGGUUACAGGUGUGAGUUCUCAGUGGUUUUUUGGGUGUUUAGUUUAGAGCAGGUUUAAAGAAAAGGAAAAAAACGAAGUUCAGGGAAUUUUUGUACUUGCAUUAGCUAAAACUAAUAGCAAAGGAGGGCUCUGUUUUGUUGUUUGUUUGUGUUGUAGACAACAUUUUUUUUUGCACUAGAAACGUGUAAGAGGGAGACAGUGCAGUUUUUUUUCCUGAAAACCAGCUCUUCUUGCCCUCUUAGUUCUCAGAACCAAUCUCAAAGGUGCAAAACUUAUUUCUGAGCUACAAAGACAAAUGUGCAUAAAGUCACUCCAGGACAGCAUCUUACCUAGUCUCCAGUUUAAACAGAUGAGAUGGAUUUUUUUUUUUUUUUUUCAAUAUUUAGCCCUUUUGGUGGAAUUGCUUUGGUCAUGAUCUGGAGUCAUGCAGUGAAGAGGAUACAAAAUCUCAUUUCCUGCUUAAGAAAGAAGAAACCUUGUGAAAGACUCAAAGGGAGGGAAGAAACGCUGUUUUGGGUUUUGGCCAGAGUGAUGGUUACUUUCUUGAAAUGGGCUAACCAUCCACAGCAAACUUUGUCAAGCUCCUCUGUUUUGAGUGCUUGUUUUGAGAAAGCUGAAGCUUGGUAUCAAAUAAUGUUGAACAUGUGCAACACUUUGCACUCCCAGCAGCAACUGGUGGAAUCAGGGUCUUUUCUCUGAACAUAUAAAAAGCCUUUUAUAAAACCCUUAGCUUUUGGAAAACUCAGAGCCUUAGACUUCCAAAAUUGGCAAACAAAAUUAGUUGACACUCUGAACAUUUUGGCUUUUAUCUUAAACAUUCAAUUCCCCUUGUGUAAAAUACUGAUAAAAAUAUCCUCCAACUUCAAAAGGAUGCUGAGAGGAUCUGUUCAUUAGUAUUUUCAAAGAAUUCAGAUGCUGUAGCGAAAUCACCAUACAAAAUCCCAUAAGGAAAUUAAUAAUUCUGCAUUCAUUGUAGGCUUUGGGUAUGGUAAGUCAAUAACACAUAAGAUUAUAUACUGCAUGAGAGGAGUAGCAAUAGAAUCUUUUUUUGUGGGAAGCGUUGCCCACUCUGUGUGCCAGGAGCAGCACAGAAAACAAUGUUGGGAAUGUGAGGAAAGGCUUCUGUGCUGCAAGAAUGGACAUCAGAGACAUUCAAAUGCACCCUUAAAAAUGGGAUUUUGAUUGGACAAUCAAAUAUUGUCGUAGUAUCAAAUUUAGCUAGUGCUGUUAAUAUGUGUUCAAAUAAAUGAGAUGUACUUGUUUAAUCAUCCACUGAGAGAAUCCUGUUAAUAAGGUUUAAAAGCAGUCCUACACUUUCUGAAGCUCACACAUAAGCACCUGUCAGAGAGCUUUACACAGCACACAGAUAUUGUAAGGAAUGAGGAUUUCUAGAAACAACUUGGGAAACGCAUUAUAAUUGUUGUCAUGAACCUGAGAAUUCCAUUAGAUCAGAUAAUCUGGGGAUUUACAGACUGGGCAACACCAAACUUCUUUGUUUCAUGGAGUAAAAAUGAAUAAGCCACUCAGAAUUGUUCCAACUAUUCAGAGCCUUAGGAGCUGCAAACAUUUAAGCAGAAGCUCCCAUCAACAAAAAAUGGAAUCAGAAGGGGCUGGUAGAAAUCUAGAAGUGGAUGGAACAUGACUUUAUUCAGCAUUUCUUCCAAAUGUGCACAUUUAAAGAGGGAAAAGUGCCAGAAAACAUUAAAAUGAGUGGGAACUGGUGAGUGUUACUGAUCCAUGUGGUCAGCACGUGCAGAGCUGUUAAGAAAGCAUAUUUACCAGUGGAAGAUCAGGUGAUUAAAUACUGCAGUCACUAGCCCAUCUGGGGACAUUCUGGGCUAUGCAUAGGUAAAGACAACACGGUAACUGACAAUCUAAAAUAAUCCAGCCAAACAAAUGAAAUAAACGAAUAACAAAAAAAAAAAAAAAAAAAAAAAA
This is a long non-coding RNA of Taeniopygia guttata (zebra finch), 3263 nucleotides long. The record is from Ensembl. NCBI's taxonomy places the organism in Eukaryota, Metazoa, Chordata, Aves, Passeriformes, Estrildidae.